CACCAGGCUGUCUGCAAAGAUAGCAGAACUCAGUAAUCUGGCAUUGGAAGGAAAUAUUCCACUUCAUCCGUUUACUUGCAGACAUAGAAAUAAUGAAAUAGUGUUUAUUGUAGGGGUGUAUACAAGAUGUUCUCUUUGUUAUGCUCACUUUUAAACCCUUUUUCUGCAGGUAUUGUUCCCUUUCAUUGUAAUGCCGUGACCCUGCUUCCCAAGGUGCCAGACAAAAAGCAUAAAAGUUGCAGUGAAUCAGGGAGACGGCUCCCAACCAGUCCCUCUCAAUUUUGGAGACACAUCAGCAGAUGGCAGUAAUGCACAGGCAUGAGACAUGAGCACGGCUAUGUGUGUGUUUCUGCACACUGAAAUGUUAUAUUCAAAAUGUGUAUACGUUCUUGCGUCGCUAUCUUCAUAGCUUUGCAGUUCAUCACCUCAUCCUUACCUACAGCAGCCUACCUGGUAACCUGUAGUAAUCUUACAUGUUGGAGCUUACUCCAUGUUCCUCAUUUAUAGCAUAUCAAUCAGUUUUUAAGAGUAGAGUUUACUUGGGUCAUUGUAGGUUUCAUAACGCUGUGCUGUUUCACUGUGUUACUGUCCCUCUGACUCUGUCAGGUGUACACAGCGCUGGUGACUGGAGAGCUAAUUCCCCAUGACUGUGACCUUCACUGAUGGGAAGCAGCAGCUGGACUAUGAGUGUCCAGUAUCUCUGACUGCUUUUUAUAGACCCAUAUCUAUCAACCACAGUGACACAUCUUCUCAAGGCCUUAUAUCGAGAUGCUGGCACGAAGAAGAAAAGUCGACCCACUUAGUGAUUGUCCUCUGGGAGACGGCUGGAAGGUUGUUGAACUGGACCUCGACAGGAAGAUGUCGGCUGCUCUGGUCAAGUGUUUCUUUACUUACAGAGGUGAAGUUUGGAGUCUUAGCUCCUUAAAGAGAUUUGUCUAAAGCGGCGCUCUUAUUGGUCGAGUUAAAGGUCUUAGGGUAAACUAAUAGAGCCCCUAUUAUUUCUACAAACAUAAGUGGUAUGGAGAGGAAGAAGGUUAUAGCUUGCUAACCUUCCAAG
RNAcentral lists this long non-coding RNA (1057 nucleotides) under Cottoperca gobio. RNAcentral's name for it is "lncRNA (ENSCGOG00000014960.1)". Lineage: Eukaryota; Metazoa; Chordata; Actinopteri; Perciformes; Bovichtidae. The record is from RNAcentral.